UAUCCUGUCUGAAUAUGGGGGGACCAUCCUCCAAGGCUAAAUACUCCUGACUGACCGAUAGUGAACCAGUACCGUGAGGGAAAGGCGAAAAGAACCCCGGCGAGGGGAGUGAAAAAGAACCUGAAACCGUGUACGUACAAGCAGUGGGAGCACCCUUUGGGGUGUGACUGCGUACCUUUUGUAUAAUGGGUCAGCGACUUAUAUUCUGUAGCAAGGUUAACCGAAUAGGGGAGCCGGAGGGAAACCGAGUCUUAAUUGGGCGUUAAGUUGCAGGGUAUAGACCCGAAACCCGGUGAUCUAGCCAUGGGCAGGUUGAAGGUUGGGUAACACUAACUGGAGGACCGAACCGACUAAUGUUGAAAAAUUAGCGGAUGACCUGUGGCUGGGGGUGAAAGGCCAAUCAAACCGGGAGAUAGCUGGUUCUCCCCGAAAGCUAUUUAGGUAGCGCCUCGUGAAUUCAUCUCCGGGGGUAGAGCACUGUUUCGGCUAGGGGGCCAUCCCGGCUUACCAACCCGAUGCAAACUGCGAAUACCGGAGAAUGUUAUCACGGGAGACACACGGCGGGUGCUAACGUCCGUCGUGAAGAGGGAAACAACCCAGACCGCCAGCUAAGGUCCCAAAGUCAUGGUUAAGUGGGAAACGAUGUGGGAAGGCCCAGACAGCCAGGAUGUUGGCUUAGAAGCAGCCAUCAUUUAAAGAAAGCGUAAUAGCUCACUGGUCGAGUCGGCCUGCGCGGAAGAUGUAACGGGGCUAAACCAU
RNAcentral lists this ribosomal RNA (759 nucleotides) under Salmonella enterica. Its description in RNAcentral is "partial 23S ribosomal RNA". It matches the Rfam family "Bacterial large subunit ribosomal RNA", at positions 430 to 1190 of the family's 2925-position model. Lineage: Bacteria; Pseudomonadati; Pseudomonadota; Gammaproteobacteria; Enterobacterales; Enterobacteriaceae. The record is from RNAcentral.